RNAcentral lists this ribosomal RNA (329 nucleotides) under uncultured Azospirillum sp. Its description in RNAcentral is "bacterial SSU rRNA". It matches the Rfam family "Bacterial small subunit ribosomal RNA", at positions 568 to 898 of the family's 1533-position model. Lineage: Bacteria; Pseudomonadati; Pseudomonadota; Alphaproteobacteria; Rhodospirillales; Azospirillaceae. The record is from RNAcentral.
CGCGUAGGCGGCGCGUUAAGUCAGGUGUGAAAGCCCUGGGCUCAACCCAGGAAUUGCACUUGAUACUGACGUGCUUGAAUCCGGAAGAGGAUGACGGAAUUCCCAGUGUAGAGGUGAAAUUCAUUGAUAUUGGGAAGAACACCAGUGGCGAAGGCGGUCAUCUGGUCCGGUAUUGACGCUGAGGCGCGAAAGCGUGGGGAGCAAACAGGAUUAGAUACCCUGGUAGUCCACGCCGUAAACGAUGAGUGCUAGACGUCGGGGGGUUGCCUCUCGGUGUCGCCGCUAACGCAUUAAGCACUCCGCCUGGGGAGUACGGCCGCAAGGUUAAA